AACUAACAUAUGAAGCUCUUCCUGUGUGCAGACUAUUGUGCUAAGUGGCUGGGUGCUGCAAAGGAUGUGGGGGACAGACCUUAUGCCAUAGAUUGUAUAGGGGCAGGGUGAAAGGCCAUUCACUGCCUCCAGGCAGAAAGCUCUCUAAGGGGUUGAACCAGAGGGAUUCUGGACUCAAGGACACCAGGCUCACAGAGGCAAGGACACCACAUCGAAAACGUGGAGGAAGAUUAGUUACCGAAAG
Pipistrellus kuhlii (Kuhl's pipistrelle) is the source of this 244-nucleotide long non-coding RNA. RefSeq lists it as uncharacterized. The record is from RefSeq and is a predicted model, not a curated record. Lineage: Eukaryota; Metazoa; Chordata; Mammalia; Chiroptera; Vespertilionidae. The transcript is spliced from 3 exons.